Molecule: ribosomal RNA, 445 nt
Filed under: uncultured bacterium
Lineage: Bacteria
Description: partial 16S ribosomal RNA
Rfam family: Bacterial small subunit ribosomal RNA
Source: RNAcentral
GUGAGGAAUAUUGGUCAAUGGACGAGAGUCUGAACCAGCCAAGUCGCGUGAAGGAAGACGGUUCUAUGAAUUGUAAACUUCUUUUGUGCAGGAAUAAAGUGGGUUACGUGUAACCUUUUGUAUGUACUGUACGAAUAAGGAUCGGCUAACUCCGUGCCAGCAGCCGCGGUAAUACGGAGGAUCCGAGCGUUAUCCGGAUUUAUUGGGUUUAAAGGGUGCGUAGGUGGAUUGAUAAGUCAGCGGUGAAAGUUUGCAGCUUAACUGUAAAAUUGCCGUUGAAACUGUCGGUCUUGAGUGCAAAUGAGGUAGGCGGAAUGUGUUGUGUAGCGGUGAAAUGCUUAGAUAUUACAUGGAAUACCAAUUGCGAAGGCAGGUUACUACUUGUGGAUUGACGCUGAUGGACGAAAGCGUGGGGAGCGAACAGGAUUAGAAACCCCGGUAGUCC